This 376-nucleotide ribosomal RNA is filed under the name Pseudoalteromonas sp. a269. RNAcentral describes it as "bacterial SSU rRNA". It matches the Rfam family "Bacterial small subunit ribosomal RNA", at positions 313 to 681 of the family's 1533-position model. The record is from RNAcentral. Lineage: Bacteria; Pseudomonadati; Pseudomonadota; Gammaproteobacteria; Alteromonadales; Pseudoalteromonadaceae.
CUGGGACUGAGACACGGCCCAGACUCCUACGGGAGGCAGCAGUGGGGAAUAUUGNACAAUGGGCGCAAGCCUGAUGCAGCCAUGCCGCGUGUGUGAAGAAGGCCUUCGGGUUGUAAAGCACUUUCAGUCAGGAGGAAAGGUUAGUAGUUAAUACCUGCUAGCUGUGACGUUACUGACAGAAGAAGCACCGGCUAACUCCGUGCCAGCAGCCGCGGUAAUACGGAGGGUGCGAGCGUUAAUCGGAAUUACUGGGCGUAAAGCGUACGCAGGCGGUUUGUUAAGCGAGAUGUGAAAGCCCCGGGCUCAACCUGGGAACUGCAUUUCGAACUGGCAAACUAGAGUGUGAUAGAGGGUGGUAGAAUUUCAGGUGUAGCGG